Molecule: long non-coding RNA, 427 nt
Organism: Oncorhynchus keta (chum salmon)
Lineage: Eukaryota; Metazoa; Chordata; Actinopteri; Salmoniformes; Salmonidae
Exons: 3
Source: RefSeq, a predicted model, not a curated record
GCAGGUAUCUGUUUAGAGGGAAUGAGAAGAUGGGCUUGGUGAACACCUGGAGCAGGUAUCUGUUUAGAGGGAAUGAGAAGAUGGGUGAACACCUGGAGCAGGUAUCUGUUUAGAGGGAAUGAGAAGAUGGGUGAACACCUGGAGCAGGUAUCUGUUUAGAGGGAAUGAGAAGAUGGGCUUGGUGAACGCCUGGAGCAGGUAUCUGUUUAGAGGGAAUGAGAAGAUGGGCUUGGUGAACGCCUGGAGCAGGUAUCUGUUUAGAGGGAAUGAGAAGAUGGGCUGGGUGAACGCCUGGAGCAGGUAUCUGUUUAGAGGGAAUGAGAAGAUGGGUGAACGCCUGGAGCAGGUAUCUGUUUAGAGGGAAUGAGAAGAUGGGCUUGGUGAACGCCUGGAGCAGGUAUCUGUUUAGAGGGAAUGAGAAGAUGGG